This 461-nucleotide ribosomal RNA is filed under the name uncultured bacterium. RNAcentral describes it as "bacterial SSU rRNA". It matches the Rfam family "Bacterial small subunit ribosomal RNA", at positions 331 to 792 of the family's 1533-position model. The record is from RNAcentral.
CCAGACUCCUACGGGAGGCAGCAGUGAGGAAUAUUGGUCAAUGGGCGGGAGCCUGAACCAGCCAUGCCGCGUGAAGGCGAGUGCCCUACGGGCGUUAAACUUCUUUUGUGCGGGAGCAAUAAGGGCCACGCGUGGCCCGAUGAGAGUACCGCACGAAUAAGCAUCGGCUAACUCCGUGCCAGCAGCCGCGGUAAUACGGGGGAUGCGAGCGUUAUCCGGAUUUAUUGGGUUUAAAGGGUGCGUAGGCGGGACGGUAAGUCAGCGGUAAAAAUGCGGAGCUCAACUCCGUCGAGCCGUAGAAACUGCCGUUCUUGAGUGAGCGAGAAGUAUGCGGAAUGCGUGGUGUAGCGGUGAAAUGCAUAGAUAUCACGCAGAACUCCGAUUGCGAAGGCAGCAUACCGGCGCUCAACUGACGCUGAAGCACGAAGGCGUGGGUAUCGAACAGGAUAGAUACCCUAGUA